RNAcentral lists this ribosomal RNA (467 nucleotides) under uncultured bacterium. RNAcentral describes it as "partial 16S ribosomal RNA". It matches the Rfam family "Bacterial small subunit ribosomal RNA", at positions 28 to 506 of the family's 1533-position model. The record is from RNAcentral.
GACGAACGCUGGCGGCGUGCUUAACACAUGCAAGUCGAACGGAGAGGCCCUGCUUUUGUGGGGUGCUCGAGUGGCGAACGGGUGAGUAACACGUGAGUAACCUGCCCUUGACUUUGGGAUAACUUCAGGAAACUGGGGCUAAUACCGGAUAGGAGCUCCUGCUGCAUGGGGGGGGUUGGAAAGUUUCGGCGGUUGGGGGUGGACUCGCGGCUUAUCAGCUUGUUGGGGGGGGAGUGGCUUACCAAGGCUUUGACGGGUAGCCGGCCUGAGGGGGUGCCCGGCCAAAUGGGGAAUGGGAUACGGCCCAGACCCCUCCGGGGGGCAGCGGUGGGGAAUUUUCGACAAGGGGGGGGAGCCGGAGGCAGAAGCCCCGGGGGGGGGAUGCCGGCCUUGGGGUGGUAAACCGCUUUCGCCUGUGACGAAGCGUGGGGGCCGGGAAUGGGGAAAGAAGCACCGGCUAACUACGU